RNAcentral lists this unclassified non-coding RNA (321 nucleotides) under fungal sp. RNAcentral describes it as "partial internal transcribed spacer region". The stretch from base 1 to 46 matches the Rfam family "Eukaryotic small subunit ribosomal RNA", at positions 1786 to 1831 of the family's 1831-position model. Lineage: Eukaryota; Fungi. The record is from RNAcentral.
AAGUCGUAACAAGGUUUCCGUAGGUGAACCUGCGGAAGGAUCAUUAUUAAUACUUGGAUAACACCAACAUUUCAUGUGCAACUAUCCCUGACGCUGCUAGCAUUUGCCUAGUGGAUGCCUCCGGGCUACACUAGUCAUACCUAGCAGCAGUCUCGCUGUUUACAGUGGGGCAAACCGGUUUCCCCGAUGUCCUUGGGCAAGAGGGAAUCCGAAACCUUUAUACAUCAGUCUUAAAUCCGUCAUCAGGGAAUAGCCGCAAGGCAUGACCUGCUCUGACUAUAAAAGGGUAAAAAACUUUUAGCAACGGAUCUCUAGGCUCUC